AAUCUAUAAGCUUUUACAGCAUUUUAUUUACACUAAAAUCAAUCAACUAAUUUAAAUUA
This 59-nucleotide transfer RNA is filed under the name Ebrechtella tricuspidata. RNAcentral describes it as "tRNA-Val". The record is from RNAcentral. Lineage: Eukaryota; Metazoa; Arthropoda; Arachnida; Araneae; Thomisidae.